This 2126-nucleotide long non-coding RNA is filed under the name Homo sapiens (human). Its description in RNAcentral is "LHRI_LNC1434.7". The record is from RNAcentral. Lineage: Eukaryota; Metazoa; Chordata; Mammalia; Primates; Hominidae.
ACAGAUGGCCUGGAUCAGUGCAAUGUGCAACAAGAGGACUAUAUCGUCUCAGUAAAAACCUUGAAGAGAUGAACCCAUUUCAGAGACCCAGCAAGGGAUCACCUGCAUAUACAGGCAUCAGCAGAAACAGGAAUUUGGGAUUUAUCCUGGAGGUAGUGGAAGCUUUUGGAGGUCUUAACCAGGACAGCACAUGUGGCUUUCCUGCAAUGGGAUCGUCCUUCAAGAGGACCUCACAGGCUCUCCACCCGGACUGUGACAGAAAGAAUCUCAGUCAUCUGGACUGCUUUGUGCUAUAUGAAAAUCUCUGAGAACCUUCAAGAGCCCAAAAACAGUUCUCCUCCAUGCUGUAUGCCAUGGUCAGUGGUUAAAGAGAACAUUUUGUUCCACUCCUCCAGCUCUGCCUUAGAAACCCAAGCCCUGCACUCCAAGGCUCCUGGCAUCGUACACCAGCACCAGCAAUUUUCUGCCAAAAGCAUCAGCCAAAAUCUAUUCUAUCUAUUUCAGUUCCUCUCUUUUCAUCGGAUUGUAUUUUUACAGGUGAUUGCUGAUUCUCACACUGCUCUUCAGAUUCAUGUACAGCUGUGGUCUGAAUGUGUGUGUUUUCUCAAAAUUCAAGUUUAAAACUUAAUCCUCAAUGUGAUAGUAUCAACAGCUGCGGCCUUUUGGAAAGUGAAGGUGGAGCCCUCGUGAGUGGGAUUAGAGCUCUUAUAAAAGAGAUUGAAGGGAGCUACCUAGCCCUUCCAUCUCUUCUGCCUUGUGAGGACACAGUGUUCAUCCCUUUUGUCUUCCCACCAUUUGAAGAUGCAGAAAGAAGGUGCCAUCUUGGAAGCAAAGAGCAGCCCUCACCAGACACCAAGUCUGCUGGCACCUUGAUCUUGGACUUCCCAGCCUCCAGGACUGUGAGAAAUGAAUUUCUGUUGUUUAUAAAUUACCUAGUCUAAGGUAUGCUGUUACAGUAGCAGGAAUGGACUAAGACACACAUUGUCAAAAUCUUCAUGAGUUAAAGGUGAAGGUACAAUCAGAACUGGUGCAUGGAAUUGGAACCAUAGGUCUUAGUAAACACUGUAAAAAUGCACUAUUCAAAUCUACAGAAAAUGCUCUCUCUUCAAGUUCAGAAAGAAGCUACAAUCUGCUUUUCCUUUUUUUCUGAAGGGAAGUAAAAUUCUAUGUUUCUGGACUAAGAGGUCUACACCCCAGUCUUUCUCUUUCUGACAUGUAUAGUAAUCUUUGGCAAAUUACUCAAGCUUUCUUUGUUCUGGUGAAAAUAAAGUGCACAGGACAGUAUUACUAAGAGGCCUGAGCAACAUUAGAGGUUGAUAACGAUGGUUCCAAAGGCCUUUAAGAAGGUGUAAUGCUAUGUGGAUGUUUUUAUUGAAACCUUCCCUGGGUUUUCAGAAUUCUCUUUGGAAUUAGUCCUGUGGGAAUAUGCCUUUUGGGAUCUAUUCUCACCUCUUAUUCAGUCCCCCUUUUCUUGCAUUACAAUCUACAAUUUGAAGUUAUUCUGUCAUUUAAAAAUUAGGUCCAUGACCUCAUCAUCACCGGGUUUUCCUCUCCAGGCCAUUUCCAGUAGAAUGUUGGUCAUAUUCUCAUGUGAGAGAACAAAUCAGUUAUUCAUUACAUCUGAUCAAUGAGCUAGUACUACACCAUAAGGAAGUGUAGUAAAACCAGAAACUGGGAAACACCCGAAAAAAUUUGCUUUGUCCUGUGUUUUAAUUUGGGGUAUGAUAAAGUGCCACAGGACAUUAAUCCAGGGACUGAGAUAGACUCUUAAGUUUGGCAAUCAGUGAAAGAACUUGCUGAAUCUCUCUAGAAUUAACCUAAAGGAGCCAGCCUCUUUUCUCAUGAGAACAAUUUAUUUUAGGGUUAGUGGUGAAUUAAUUCUACAGUGUUUAAUUCCACAUAUAAACUUCAUUUUCUAUAUAAAUGUUUUGUUGUAACAUAUUCAAUUACUUCCUUUUGUUGUUUUUCUGCAACAUUCCCUUUUUCACCUUUUCUAACCUCUUAAACCAAAUAAAAAACUCACUUAUCUUCUUGCUGUUGUAAUAUUUGCUUUCCUUUCUUGUUUAUACUCUGUAAUGAUGUUUACCCGAUCUGUCCACAUCACCUGGAUUCCAGGUGUACCAUUC